UACGUAGGGUGCGAGCGUUGUCCGGAUUUACUGGGCGUAAAGGGCUCGUAGGCGGCCAACUAAGUCACACGUGAAAUCCCCAGGCUUAACCUGGGAACUGCGUGUGAUACUGGAUGGCUUGAAUUCGGGAGAGGGAUGCAGAAUUCCAGGUGUAGCGGUGAAAUGCGUAGAUAUCUGGAGGAAUACCGGUGGCGAAGGCGGCAUCCUGGACCGACAUUGACGCUGAGGAGCGAAAGCUAGGGGAGCAAACGGG
Molecule: ribosomal RNA, 253 nt
Filed under: uncultured bacterium
Lineage: Bacteria
Description: partial 16S ribosomal RNA
Rfam family: Bacterial small subunit ribosomal RNA
Source: RNAcentral